UCCUGUGGAACAGUUACUUUUUGCUUAUAAACUUCUUGACAGAGCAAUCAGUGGAAUAAAUUUGAAUUGCAUGUUAACCUCUUUGCCAAAUGGAUCAUCAGUAAUUGACCACUGCUAUGCCAAGCGUACCCACCAUGUAGAUGGAGAUACUUACAAACCACUUGCCUCAAAUAGUUUCAUGAUGGAUUUGCAUCUUGAACUAAUUCAAGCUCAGCAUCGAAUAGCUGUUGUGCUUCUGGACAAAUUGCAAGUUUUGCAGACUCCAACUGUUAGCAAAGAUAUUUCUACCAAGGGUCCGGAAAAGUUAAAACAAUCUGGAAGCACUGAUUGUUUUACAGAAUUAAAUAUAAUGAAUAAAAUAAAGAAGAAUACAUUAUCCAAAGCAAUUUACUUAAUGCAGAAAGCUCUUUUAAUAUUUGAGAAAGAUGCAACUUCUACAUCUUCAUGGGAACUUUUGAUGAUUCACUAUAUAUAAUUCAUCCUGACCAGGGGAACUAAUUCGUACCUCCAGUUCUGAAUUCUGAAAUGAGAGAUUCUCUUUUUAUCAGAACUUCAUGCAAUCUACAUGAGAAGACAAAUAAAAUCAGAAGGACUCAAAAUGAGGGAAAUUAUAGAAUUGGAGUGACACUUUACCAGCUUAAUGUAUUCUUUACAAUGGAAUUAAAAUUCUUAAAGUCCAUUGGCUGAGGAAGCAUAUUCCUUAAUUCAGAGGAUUGAAGCUGAACAAAAUGCCCUAUAUUCCUAUCAGAAAUAUUUGGAAAGUUCAAAAAGAAAGAAAAGCAGAGUCCCCCCUCCACCUAUC
Molecule: small RNA, 802 nt
Filed under: Pan troglodytes (chimpanzee)
Lineage: Eukaryota; Metazoa; Chordata; Mammalia; Primates; Hominidae
Description: processed transcript
Source: RNAcentral